RNAcentral lists this ribosomal RNA (465 nucleotides) under uncultured bacterium. RNAcentral describes it as "partial 16S ribosomal RNA". It matches the Rfam family "Bacterial small subunit ribosomal RNA", at positions 28 to 507 of the family's 1533-position model. The record is from RNAcentral.
GACGAACGCUGGCGGCGUGCUUAACACAUGCAAUUCGAACGCGAAACCGGCUUCGGUGGGGGUGGAUGGGCGACGGGUUGAGUAACACUUGGGCAACCUGCCCCCGGCUUUGGGAUACCUCCAAGAAAUUGGGGCUAAUACCGGUUUUGACCGCUGGCCGCAUGUUCUGUGGUGGGAAGGGGUUUCCGGCUGGGGAUGGGCCCGCGGCCUAUCAGCUUGUUGGGGGGGUAGUGGCCUACCAAGGCGACGACGGGUAGCCGGCCUGAGAGGGUGACCGGCCACACUGGGACUGAGACACGGCCCAGACUCCUACGGGAGGCAGCAGUGGGGAAUAUUGCGCAAUGGGCGGAAGCCUGACGCAGCGACGCCGCGUGGGGGAUGACGGCCUUCGGGUUGUAAACCUCUUUCAGCAGGGACGAAGCGCAAGUGACGGUACCUGCAGAAGAAGCACCGGCCAACUACGUG